Molecule: ribosomal RNA, 253 nt
Filed under: uncultured bacterium
Lineage: Bacteria
Description: partial 16S ribosomal RNA
Rfam family: Bacterial small subunit ribosomal RNA
Source: RNAcentral
UACGGAGGGUGCAAGCAUUAAUCGGAUUUAUUGGGCGUAAAGGGCGCGUAGGCGGGGAUAUAAGUCAGAUGUGAAAUCCUGGGGCUCAACCUCAGAACUGCAUUUGAAACUGUAUCUCUAGAGGGUAGGAGGAGAAAACGGAAUUCCACAAGUAGCGGUGAAAUGCGUAGAUAUGUGGAAGAACACCGGUGGCGAAGGCGGUUUUCUAUCUUAUUCCUGACGCUGAGGCGCGAAAGCAAGGGGAUCAAACAGG